GCCCGGUUAGCUCAAUCGGUAGAGCGUGAGACUCUUAAUCUCAAGGUUGCGGGUAAGAAGUUGCAUGUUCAAUACAUUACCGAGUC
Molecule: non-coding RNA, 86 nt
Organism: Xylaria intraflava
Lineage: Eukaryota; Fungi; Ascomycota; Sordariomycetes; Xylariales; Xylariaceae
Source: the annotation of a GenBank genome assembly